This 1916-nucleotide unclassified non-coding RNA is filed under the name Hevea brasiliensis (rubber tree). The record is from RNAcentral. Lineage: Eukaryota; Viridiplantae; Streptophyta; Magnoliopsida; Malpighiales; Euphorbiaceae.
AUUAUUAUUAUUAUUAUUUUAAUUCCACUUCCGUAAUCUACACUAUGCUAUAACAACAUGACAAUUGGUUACAAAAUUAACCUCUUCAGAACAUUCUGCAACUGAAAUAACAAGUUUUCCAAUCUCGCAAGGUACUAAAACCAACUUUGAACUACAAUGAAUUCCACUCUUAUAUACUAUAAAAUGGCUGGUGUAUAUACCUUGCACUUUGCAGCCGUUGAAAUUAUGAUAUCAAAUAACGGUGCUCGGGAAGAAUCUACUGUUAAGGUCACUUUUUUCCAUAAUAUAGUACAGUCUAUAAAGAUGCGUGCGUCACUCCUGUGAUCAGCGGAAUCAGAAGUGGUGCCUACUGGUAGAUCAAAAAGUUAAAUGAUACCUACAUCAAAUCUUUACCGCUUUGAUUUAGAUUAUUGCUUUUUCUAUUUAGUUACAAGCAGUUGAAGUGGUGCUUCUUAGAUGCCAGGAACGUGUCAUUGCACAUCUGUUAACAAGGACAUUCAACCACAAGUUUCAGGGUGAUACAGCUGAAGCAAGAAACAUUGGAGAAUAUGUGAACUCAGGAAACAAGAUAUACUUUGGAGACUGCAAUAAUCCAAGUUUAGCACUGAUAAAUUUAGAGAAUUUUGAUGCAUUUCUAAACUUUACUGCAGAAACGAGGUUAAGAAGCAAAAUCUUACAUUAUGCUUAGCGGAAUUUCUUCAGACGUUUAGGAGGCUUCAUUGGUCCUUUCCUUGUAUCAUCAGGGGUUUUUAAAUCCACGAAUGGCUGCAUGCACUUUCAACAUGCUAGAAGUAAGAAAAUGAAAAUAAUAAUUCACCAUCCUGUGUAAAAUGAUCACCAUAUUCAACAGCGAAAAAUCCCUUAAUUUAUCACGAGUUUAUUACCCAGUGAACAUAGCAACUUAUAUUGAUAAACAACAAUGGAAUCCACAGUUAUGGCAUUUGCCUGACAAGUAUUCACUACAGGCAAGCCAAAUGCCAAGACUGUAGACAAGUCAUUAAUAUGAGAUUUAUAGACAAAAAAUCCUUCCAGGUCAAACCUUUGGUCAUAUUUGUUAUAUACCACUUGCCUCAUAAAAGUACCCCUCCUAUCCCCUUUUCGUUCCUCACAGACCCACAAACAGAAAAGGAAAUAUACCAUGAAAGAGUGAUUCUUGCUGAUGCCUGCAUGAAGGCAGUUUUUUCUAGUUUUUUUAUCUUUUUAGCACCAAAAAUUGUUGGGAAGGGAAAGCAAGGGAAUAAUCUUGUGACAAUAACUAUUUGGUAGUCUUUUUCUGUCAGGGAAGGGUAAUUGGAAUACCAUGUUAAAGGCUAACAAUCAGCACAAUGGAAAAUUUUGAAAAUAUGCCAGCUGUAAUAAUUUUCCUGUUAUGCUGAUCUCUAACACUAACAUUACUUUGAAUGGAAGAAUCUCCUUGAGAGUUAAAAGACUUGAUAUCUUUCAAGAAUUUGGGUGUGGCUAGAAAUGAUUUUGUGUUUGCAUCGUUCCUAACACAAUACAAGAUGAGAAAAUCACUCACCUCUUAAAAUUUUCACAAUUUUACUCUUAAAACAUUAUGAAAUCUCCCAGUUCCACUAAUUUGCAUCUCUAAUUUUCCCAUUUCAAGAAAAAAUUUAGCCAUUUACCAAGGUUAUCACUUAGUUAUGACAUCACUGACGAGUGCUAAAAUUAUAUCCACUUUAUCAAUGUAAAUCCAACUUCAACUUAUACACUUAGGAAAAGUGCAAAGUUCAAAAUCCAAUUUGUCUGGAUAAUUCUAACUAAUAAAAUUUACCUCUUCUGAUAACAAAGUUUUAUAGCAGAUAAUGUACAUAUAACAUAAACAGAUUUAUCAAUUGAUGAAAAUAUCAUAACAAACAAGUAGUUCACAUACAAAAAUAAGAUGGCAUCAUACUGACCUCUUCCCAUUUCUUUUG